Molecule: non-coding RNA, 72 nt
Organism: Phrynosoma platyrhinos (Desert horned lizard)
Lineage: Eukaryota; Metazoa; Chordata; Lepidosauria; Squamata; Phrynosomatidae
Source: the annotation of a GenBank genome assembly
UGAUGUGUGGCGUAAUGGUUUGACUGCUAGAGUACAACUCUCUAGGCCAGGGUUCAAUUCCCAGCUCAGCCA